This 253-nucleotide ribosomal RNA is filed under the name uncultured bacterium. RNAcentral describes it as "partial 16S ribosomal RNA". It matches the Rfam family "Bacterial small subunit ribosomal RNA", at positions 524 to 776 of the family's 1533-position model. The record is from RNAcentral.
UACAGAGGUCUCAAGCGUUGUUCGGAUUCAUUGGGCGUAAAGAGCGUGUAGGCGGCUAGGUAGGUCCGUUGUGAAAACUCGAGGCUCAACCUCGAGACGUCGAUGGAAACCAUCUAGCUAGAGUCCGGAAGAGGAGAGUGGAAUUCCUGGUGUAGCGGUGAAAUGCGCAGAUAUCAGGAAGAACCCCCGUGGCGAAGGCGGCUCCCUGGGACGUGACUGGCGCUGAGAAGCCAAAGCGUGGGGAGCGAACAGG